GGGGGAAACUGAGGCAGGCCUCUGCAGGGCACAUGGGCAAAGCUGUCUCCUUCCCACGGGCCAGAAAGGGGCCUCACCCCUGGCUGGGGAGCAACACAAGGGCAACACUGCUGUGCCUGUCUGUGUCUUGUCUGCAGCGGCAGGAGCCUCAGUGCGGCGGCGGUUCAGAAUCUGCUGAUCACAAAAGGCCAUCGACUGACUGACUCCACUGUCCUCCAGGGACCCCUGGCCACCUGGCCGCCUCCUCAAGAGCAAGUCAGAGCCUCCCAGGAUAAAGGAGGGCGCAGCAGCCCCACCUCCAGGACCUGCAGAGGUAGUGCAGAUCUGGGGCCCAGCCAAGCUCUUCCCUGCACCAGCUGUGUGGCCUGAGGCCAGUUACUUGGCUCCCCUGAGUCUUCCCUCCUACCUUGUAGAAAAGGACGGGAACCCAGACCUCUGACUGCUAGGUAGGUGCUGCAACACCACAUCACUGCAGAUAAAGGUCUGCAGGACCUGUGGUAUGGGAGGUGGCACAGUGGAUAAGUCACUGGACUCUCAACCAUGAAGUCCUGAGCUCGAUCCCCGGCAGCAUAUGUACCAGAGUUAUGUCUGGUCCUAUCCUAUCUCUCUCAUUAAUAAAAGAAAUACUUUGGGAGUCGGGCGGUAGCGCAGCGGGUUAAGCGCAGGUGGUGCAAAGCUCAAGGACAGGCAUAGGGAUCCAGUUCAAGCCCCCAGCUCCACCUGCAGGGGAGUCGCUUCACAGGCGGUGAAGCAGAUCUGCAGGUGUCUGUCUUUCUCUCCCCCUCUCUGUCUUCCCCUCCUCUCUCCAUUUCUCUCUGUCCUAUCCAACAACGCCAACAACAAUAAUAACUACAGCAGUAAAACAACAAGGGCAACAAAAGGGAAUAAA
Molecule: long non-coding RNA, 889 nt
Organism: Erinaceus europaeus (western European hedgehog)
Lineage: Eukaryota; Metazoa; Chordata; Mammalia; Eulipotyphla; Erinaceidae
Exons: 2
Source: RefSeq, a predicted model, not a curated record